UACGUAGGGGGCUAGCGUUGUUCGGAAUUACUGGGCGUAAAGCGCGCGCAGGCGGUUCUUUAAGUCAGGGGUGAAAGCCCAGAGCUCAACUCUGGAAUUGCCUUUGAAACUAGAGAACUUGGGUACGGGAGAGGUGAGUGGAAUUCCGAGUGUAGAGGUGAAAUUCGUAGAUAUUCGGAGGAACACCAGUGGCGAAGGCGGCUCACUGGCCCGGUACUGACGCUGAGGUGCGAAAGCGUGGGGAGCAAACAGG
Molecule: ribosomal RNA, 253 nt
Filed under: uncultured bacterium
Lineage: Bacteria
Description: partial 16S ribosomal RNA
Rfam family: Bacterial small subunit ribosomal RNA
Source: RNAcentral